UGGGGAAUAUUGCACAAUGGGCGCAAGCCUGAUGCAGCCAUGUCGCGUGUAUGAAGAAGGCCUUCGGGUUGUAAAGUACUUUCAGCGGGGAGGAAGGGAGUAAAGUUAAUACCUUUGCUCAUUGACGUUACCCGCAGAAGAAGCACCGGCUAACUCCGUGCCAGCAGCCGCGGUAAUACGGAGGGUGCAAGCGUUAAUCGGAAUUACUGGGCGUAAAGCGCACGCAGGCGGUUUGUUAAGUCAGAUGUGAAAUCCCCGGGCUCAACCUGGGAACUGCAUCUGAUACUGGCAAGCUUGAGUCUCGUAGAGGGGGGUAGAAUUCCAGGUGUAGCGGUGAAAUGCGUAGAGAUCUGGAGGAAUACCGGUGGCGAAGGCGGCCCCCUGGACGAAGACUGACGCUCAGGUGCGAAAGCGUGGGGAGCAAACAGG
This 429-nucleotide ribosomal RNA is filed under the name Chloroflexota bacterium. RNAcentral's name for it is "Chloroflexi bacterium partial 16S ribosomal RNA". It matches the Rfam family "Bacterial small subunit ribosomal RNA", at positions 355 to 776 of the family's 1533-position model. Lineage: Bacteria; Bacillati; Chloroflexota. The record is from RNAcentral. RNAcentral also lists the same sequence under 1 other name.